RNAcentral lists this ribosomal RNA (470 nucleotides) under Aphyosemion exigoideum (false jewel killifish). RNAcentral describes it as "partial 16S ribosomal RNA". It matches the Rfam family "Bacterial large subunit ribosomal RNA", at positions 1926 to 2551 of the family's 2925-position model. Lineage: Eukaryota; Metazoa; Chordata; Actinopteri; Cyprinodontiformes; Nothobranchiidae. The record is from RNAcentral.
AACGGCCGCGGUAUUUUGACCGUGCAAAGGUAGCGCAAUCACUUGUCUUUUAAAUAAAGACCUGUAUGAAUGGCAUAACGAGGGCUUAACUGUCUCCUUUCUCCUAUCAAUGAAAUUGAUCUCCCCGUGCAGAAGCGGGGAUUCCUACAUAAGACGAGAAGACCCUAUGGAGCUUAAGCCGCAAGAACAGAACAUGUCAUUUCCAUCAAUUAAGGUACGAAAGCCAUUGAACCCUGUUCAAGUGUCUUUGGUUGGGGCGACCACGGAGUAUAAGAAAACCUCCAUGAGGAAUGAAGAUAACUCUUUCCAUCUAAGGGUGACAACCCUAAGAACCAGAAUUUCUGACCAAUUUGAUCCGGCAAUGCCGAUCAACGAACCGAGUUACCCUAGGGAUAACAGCGCAAUCCUCUUUUAGAGCCCAUAUCGACAAGAGGGUUUACGACCUCGAUGUUGGAUCAGGACAUCCUAAU